This 213-nucleotide unclassified non-coding RNA is filed under the name Hevea brasiliensis (rubber tree). The record is from RNAcentral. Lineage: Eukaryota; Viridiplantae; Streptophyta; Magnoliopsida; Malpighiales; Euphorbiaceae.
GGGAUAGAUCGCCAAUCUCUUGCUUAAUCUCGCCUCCUGGCAUUGUGGCCAUUGACGGGAACUCGUGUAAUGAACUUUCAUUGAUAGGGGCGUAGUCACUGAAUACUGAUGCAGAGAAUUGACUUAAAGGAGAGACUGGAUGCCCAUAAAUAUCACAUCCUUUGAGAUCUGGACAUGAAUUAUUGACUGCAUUACCAGAUGUCUCGUUCCCUU